UACGAGGGGGGCGAGCGUUGUUCGGAAUUACUGGGCGUAAAGCGCACGCAGGCGGUCUGUUAAGUCAGAUGUGAAAUCCCCGGGCUUAACCUGGGAACUGCAUUUGAAACUGGCAGGCUUGAGUCUUGUAGAGGGGGGUAGAAUUCCAGGUGUAGCGGUGAAAUGCGUAGAGAUCUGGAGGAAUACCGGUGGCGAAGGCGGCCCCCUGGACAAAGACUGACGCUCAGGUGCGAAAGCGUGGGGAGCAAACAGG
RNAcentral lists this ribosomal RNA (253 nucleotides) under uncultured bacterium. Its description in RNAcentral is "partial 16S ribosomal RNA". It matches the Rfam family "Bacterial small subunit ribosomal RNA", at positions 524 to 776 of the family's 1533-position model. The record is from RNAcentral.